CAGCUUAACACAUGCAAGUCGAGCGGGCAUAGCAAUAUGUCAGCGGCAGACGGGUGAGUAACGCGUGGGAACGUACCUUUUGGUUCGGAACAACUGAGGGAAACUUCAGCUAAUACCGGAUAAGCCCUUACGGGGAAAGAUUUAUCGCCGAAAGAUCGGCCCGCGUCUGAUUAGCUAGUUGGUGAGGUAAUGGCUCACCAAGGCGACGAUCAGUAGCUGGUCUGAGAGGAUGAUCAGCCACAUUGGGACUGAGACACGGCCCAAACUCCUACGGGAGGCAGCAGUGGGGAAUAUUGGACAAUGGGCGCAAGCCUGAUCCAGCCAUGCCGCGUGAGUGAUGAAGGCCCUAGGGUUGUAAAGCUCUUUUGUGCGGGAAGAUAAUGACGGUACCGCAAGAAUAAGCCCCGGCUAACUUCGUGCCAGCAGCCGCGGUAAUACGAAGGGGGCUAGCGUUGCUCGGAAUCACUGGGCGUAAAGGGUGCGUAGGCGGGUCUUUAAGUCAGGGGUGAAAUCCUGGAGCUCAACUCCAGAACUGCCUUUGAUACUGAAGAUCUUGAGUUCGGGAGAGGUGAGUGGAACUGCGAGUGUAGAGGUGAAAUUCGUAUAUAUUCUCAAGA
Molecule: ribosomal RNA, 617 nt
Filed under: Bradyrhizobium elkanii
Lineage: Bacteria; Pseudomonadati; Pseudomonadota; Alphaproteobacteria; Hyphomicrobiales; Nitrobacteraceae
Description: bacterial SSU rRNA
Rfam family: Bacterial small subunit ribosomal RNA
Source: RNAcentral